RNAcentral lists this ribosomal RNA (1128 nucleotides) under Enterococcus faecium. RNAcentral's name for it is "bacterial SSU rRNA". It matches the Rfam family "Bacterial small subunit ribosomal RNA", at positions 1 to 1099 of the family's 1533-position model. Lineage: Bacteria; Bacillati; Bacillota; Bacilli; Lactobacillales; Enterococcaceae. The record is from RNAcentral.
UUUUAUGAGAGUUUGAUCCUGGCUCAGGACGAACGCUGGCGGCGUGCCUAAUACAUGCAAGUCGUACGCUUCUUUUUUCACCGGAGCUUGCUCCACCGGAAAAAGAAGAGUGGCGAACGGGUGAGUAACACGUGGGUAACCUGCCCAUCAGAAGGGGAUAACACUUGGAAACAGGUGCUAAUACCGUAUAACAAUCGAAGCCGCAUGGUUUUGAUUUGAAAGGCGCUUUCGGGUGUCGCUGAUGGAUGGACCCGCGGUGCAUUAGCUAGUUGGUGAGGUAACGGCUCACCAAGGCCACGAUGCAUAGCCGACCUGAGAGGGUGAUCGGCCACAUUGGGACUGAGACACGGCCCAAACUCCUACGGGAGGCAGCAGUAGGGAAUCUUCGGCAAUGGACGAAAGUCUGACCGAGCAACGCCGCGUGAGUGAAGAAGGUUUUCGGAUCGUAAAACUCUGUUGUUAGAGAAGAACAAGGAUGAGAGUAACUGUUCAUCCCUUGACGGUAUCUAACCAGAAAGCCACGGCUAACUACGUGCCAGCAGCCGCGGUAAUACGUAGGUGGCAAGCGUUGUCCGGAUUUAUUGGGCGUAAAGCGAGCGCAGGCGGUUUCUUAAGUCUGAUGUGAAAGCCCCCGGCUCAACCGGGGAGGGUCAUUGGAAACUGGGAGACUUGAGUGCAGAAGAGGAGAGUGGAAUUCCAUGUGUAGCGGUGAAAUGCGUAGAUAUAUGGAGGAACACCAGUGGCGAAGGCGGCUCUCUGGUCUGUAACUGACGCUGAGGCUCGAAAGCGUGGGGAGCAAACAGGAUUAGAUACCCUGGUAGUCCACGCCGUAAACGAUGAGUGCUAAGUGUUGGAGGGUUUCCGCCCUUCAGUGCUGCAGCUAACGCAUUAAGCACUCCGCCUGGGGAGUACGACCGCAAGGUUGAAACUCAAAGGAAUUGACGGGGGCCCGCACAAGCGGUGGAGCAUGUGGUUUAAUUCGAAGCAACGCGAAGAACCUUACCAGGUCUUGACAUCCUUUGACCACUCUAGAGAUAGAGCUUCCCCUUCGGGGGCAAAGUGACAGGUGGUGCAUGGUUGUCGUCAGCUCGUGUCGUGAGAUGUUGGGUUAAGUCCCGCAACGAGCGC